CCCGCACGUACAGAUGGACAAGAAUAGGCUUCGGCUUAGCGUCUUAGCAGGCGAAUCGUCCACGGCGCAGGAAGCGCGUCGUGGUAUUUCGCGUAUUGUAAUUUCAACACGAGCGGGGUCAAAUCCUUUGCAGACGACUUAGCUGUGCGAAACGGUCCUGUAAGCAGUAGAGUAGCCUUGUUGUUACGAUCUGCUGAGGGUAAGCCGUCCUUCGCCUCGAUUUCCCCAAUGCGAGCAGCCCGCCGAGAGCGGGAGGCGUGUAGGGGUUCGGCUGGUUUUAACUUGGGCGGUUUUCGAGGGCUCCGGCUUUGGAGCUCUCGUUCGAUCGUCCGUCGGGGAGGUGGUGUAGGGUAGCCAGGAUCGAGCCGGCAGAGUUGGCCGGGGGGAAAGCUCGACGACGAAGGUGUCCGGACGGCUUGGACGGGCGCUCGUUCGUCGCGGGAUGGCUACAGGGUAGGCAGAAUCGGUGAGCAGGAAGGCGCGGCCGCCACGCAGAUUAUUUUUGCGGAAUGGCCCCGGAGGCCGGCGUGGCGUGGGACGGGCUGCGUGGUGGUCGGAGGGGAUAUGAGCAGGCCCGGCCAGGGUCCUGGUUCUGGUACAGGGUAGGUAAAAACGAAAUGGUUGUUAAGCGGCGCGGCGUCGCUGCUUGUUUUUCCCGGGAGGAGCAGGGCCUCUUCUGGGGGCGGCGUGUCCUCUGGGGGAGCGCCCUGGGGA
Molecule: ribosomal RNA, 714 nt
Filed under: Fusarium langsethiae
Lineage: Eukaryota; Fungi; Ascomycota; Sordariomycetes; Hypocreales; Nectriaceae
Description: partial 28S ribosomal RNA
Rfam family: Eukaryotic large subunit ribosomal RNA (bases 1-225)
Source: RNAcentral